RNAcentral lists this ribosomal RNA (248 nucleotides) under uncultured Actinomycetes bacterium. Its description in RNAcentral is "uncultured actinobacterium partial 16S ribosomal RNA". It matches the Rfam family "Bacterial small subunit ribosomal RNA", at positions 28 to 276 of the family's 1533-position model. The record is from RNAcentral. Lineage: Bacteria; Bacillati; Actinomycetota; Actinomycetes.
GACGAACGCUGGCGGCGUGCUUAACACAUGCAAGUCGAACGGUAAGGCCCUUUCGGGGGUACACGAGUGGCGAACGGGUGAGUAACACGUGGGUGAUCUGCCCUGCACUUUGGGAUAAGCCUGGGAAACUGGGUCUAAUACCGAAUACACCUCGCUGGCUGCAUGGUUGGUGGGGGAAAGCUUUUUGCGGUGUGGGAUGGGCCCGCGGCCUAUCAGCUUGUUGGUGGGGUGAUGGCCUACCAAGGCGA